This 253-nucleotide ribosomal RNA is filed under the name uncultured bacterium. RNAcentral's name for it is "partial 16S ribosomal RNA". It matches the Rfam family "Bacterial small subunit ribosomal RNA", at positions 524 to 776 of the family's 1533-position model. The record is from RNAcentral.
UACGUAGGUGGCGAGCGUUGUCCGGAUUUAUUGGGCGUAAAGCGCGUGCAGGCGGUUCGUUAAGUCCGGUGUGAAAGCUCCCGGCUCAACUGGGAGAGGUCACUGGAUACUGGCGGACUCGAGGGAGGCAGAGGAAGGUGGAAUUCCCGGUGUAGUGGUGAAAUGCGUAGAGAUCAGGCAGAACACCUGGGGCGAAGGCGGCCAGCUGGGCCGUCCCUGACGCUGAGGCGCGAAGGCGUGGGGAGCGAACGGG